GUUUGAUCCUGGCUCAGGAUGAACGCUAGCGGCAGGCUUAAUACAUGCAAGUCGAGGGGCAGCAGGACUGUAGCAAUACAGUUGCUGGCGACCGGCAAACGGGUGCGGAACACGUACGCAACUUACCCAAAACUGGGGAAUAGCCCGGGGAAACCCGGAUUAAUACCUCGUAACAUAAUGAAGUGGCAUCACUUUAUUAUUAUAGCUCCGGCGGUUUUGGAUGGGCGUGCGCCUGAUUAGGUAGUUGGCGGGGUAACGGCCCACCAAGCCUACGAUCAGUAACUGGUGUGAGAGCACGACCAGUCACACGGGCACUGAGACACGGGCCCGACUCCUACGGGAGGCAGCAGUAAGGAAUAUUGGUCAAUGGACGCAAGUCUGAACCAGCCAUGCCGCGUGAAGGAUGAAGGUCCUCUGGAUUGUAAACUUCUUUUAUAUGGGAAGAAAUCCAUCUUUUCUUGGGUGGUUGACGGUACCAUAGGAAUAAGCACCGGCUAACUCCGUGCCAGCAGCCGCGGUAAUACGGAGGGUGCAAGCGUUAUCCGGAUUCACUGGGUUUAAAGGGUGCGUAGGAGGGCAGGUAAGUCAGUGGUGAAAUCUCCAAGCUUAACUUGGAAACUGCCGUUGAUACUAUCUGUCUUGAAUACCGUGGAGGUGAGCGGAAUAUGUCAUGUAGCGGUGAAAUGCUUAGAUAUGACAUAGAACACCAAUUGCGAAGGCAGCUCGCUACACGAAUAUUGACUCUGAGGCACGAAAGCGUGGGGAUCAAACAGGAUUAGAUACCCUGGUAGUCCACGCCCUAAACGAU
RNAcentral lists this ribosomal RNA (808 nucleotides) under uncultured bacterium. RNAcentral describes it as "bacterial SSU rRNA". It matches the Rfam family "Bacterial small subunit ribosomal RNA", at positions 11 to 810 of the family's 1533-position model. The record is from RNAcentral.